AGAUUGCGUCAGUAGCGGCGAGCGAAAGCGCAAGAGGGCAAACCCAGUGCUUGCACUGGGGGUUGUAGGACUGCAAUGUGCAAGAGGUAAGUUUAGCAGAACAUUCUGGAAAGUAUAACCAUAGAGGGUGAUAGUCCCGUAUGCGAAAAACAAACCUUAGCUAGCAGUAUCCUGAGUAGGGCGGGACACGAGGAAUCCUGUCUGAAUCCGGGUCGACCACGAUCCAACCCUAAAUACUAAUACCAGAUCGAUAGUGCACAAGUACCGUGAGGGAAAGGUGAAAAGAACUGAGGUGAUCAGAGUGAAAUAGAACCUGAAACCAUUUGCUUACAAUCAUUCAGAGCCCUAUGUAGCAAUACAGGGUGAUGGACUGCCUUUUGCAUAAUGAGCCUGCGAGUUGUGGUGUCUGGCAAGGUUAAGCAAACGCGAAGCCGUAGCGAAAGCGAGUCUGAAUAGGGCGCUUAGUCAGAUGCUGCAGACCCGAAACGAAGUGAUCUAUCCAUGAGCAAGUUGAAGCUAGUGUAAGAACUAGUGGAGGACUGAACCCAUAGGCGUUGAAAAGCCCCGGGAUGACUUGUGGAUAGGGGUGAAAGGCCAAUCAAACUUCGUGAUAGCUGGUUCUCUCCGAAAUAUAUUUAGGUAUAGCGUUGUGUCGUAAUAUAAGGGGGUAGAGCACUGAAUGGGCUAGGGCAUACACCAAUGUACCAAACCCUAUCAAACUCCGAAUACCUUAUAUGUAAUCACAGCAGUCAGGCGGCGAGUGAUAAAAUCCGUCGUCAAGAGGGAAACAACCCAG
RNAcentral lists this ribosomal RNA (796 nucleotides) under Campylobacter jejuni. Its description in RNAcentral is "partial 23S ribosomal RNA". It matches the Rfam family "Bacterial large subunit ribosomal RNA", at positions 232 to 1030 of the family's 2925-position model. Lineage: Bacteria; Pseudomonadati; Campylobacterota; Epsilonproteobacteria; Campylobacterales; Campylobacteraceae. The record is from RNAcentral.